AGGCAACACAACGGGUAUUCACAUUAUACAAUUUGCCUUACAAAAAAAGUACCGAAGAUCGAGAUUUAUGGAUUAUAUAAUUUAUAGAUCUUGCUGACAUCAGUAAACUGCAUUACUUGGGUCUAAAGCCAAAAGAGAUAUGGAUGAAGUCGUCAACGCUCAUUCGCUUUAAUAGCUCAAACGAAUUCAGCUACUGUACCUUGUUCUGGAUCACCUUAGAGCUUAGACCUGCAAAUUGAUGAUGCUCAUAUAAACCGCAUCCCACAUUUACCUCGCGUGGAACAACACUCAGCUCACAUCGAGGCAUGCAACUACAACUACAAGUGUCUGAUUUGAACUGGAUUGCAGGGAGAUCACAUUAUUAUAUUUCAUUCAUGUGUGGAGAUCCGCAAAUUAAAGAUAGUUUUGUUUUGAAGCAUGGAGAAAUUUAAAUUGUAAUUUAUCAUUAUUAUUCUAUAUAAAGGCCAAUUGGAUAUGGUUUUAAUUUUAA
Drosophila mojavensis is the source of this 490-nucleotide long non-coding RNA. RefSeq lists it as uncharacterized. The transcript has 5 exons. NCBI's taxonomy places the organism in Eukaryota, Metazoa, Arthropoda, Insecta, Diptera, Drosophilidae. The record is from RefSeq and is a predicted model, not a curated record.